CGGCAACACAGUUGCGAGCAAUCGCAACCGGUGGCGAGUGGCGCACGGGUGAGUAACGCGUAUGUAACCUACCCUUCUCCGGGACAUAACUCCGCGAAAGCGGUGCUAAUAUCCCAUACCAACUCAUCAAGACAUCUUCUUGAGUUGAAAGCAGCAAUGCGGUGAAGGAUGGGCAUGCGUCCCAUUAGCUGGUUGGUGAGGUAAUGGCCCACCAAGGCUACGAUGGGUAGGGGUUCUGAGAGGAAAGCCCCCCACACUGGUACUGAGACACGGACCAGACUCCUACGGGAGGCAGCAGUAAGGAAUAUUGGGCAAUGGUCGAAAGACUGACCCAGCCAUGCCGCGUGCAGGAUGAAGGCCCUAUGGGUUGUAAACUGCUUUUAGCCGGGAAUAAACACCCGUUUUAUAACGGGCCCGAAGGUACCGGCUGAAUAAGCAUCGGCUAACUCCGUGCCAGCAGCCGCGGUAAUACGGAGGAUGCAAGCGUUAUCCGGAUUCACUGGGUUUAAAGGGUGCGCAGGCGGACAUUUAAGUCAGGGGUGAAAUCCUACAGCUUAACUGUAGAACUGCCCUUGAUACUGAAUGCCUAGAGUAAAGCUGAAGUGGGCGGAAUGUGUUGUGUAGCGGUGAAAUGCUUAGAUAUAACACAGAACACCAAUCGCGAAGGCAGCUCACUAAACUUUAACUGACGCUCAUGCACGAAAGCGUGGGGAGCAAACAGGAUUAGAUACCCUGGUAGUCCACGCCCUAAACGAUGAUCACUCGCUGUUGGCGA
This 775-nucleotide ribosomal RNA is filed under the name bacterium enrichment culture clone BH50. RNAcentral's name for it is "bacterial SSU rRNA". It matches the Rfam family "Bacterial small subunit ribosomal RNA", at positions 67 to 829 of the family's 1533-position model. The record is from RNAcentral.